This 1914-nucleotide long non-coding RNA is filed under the name Salmo salar (Atlantic salmon). Its description in RNAcentral is "lncRNA (ENSSSAG00000091409.1)". The record is from RNAcentral. Lineage: Eukaryota; Metazoa; Chordata; Actinopteri; Salmoniformes; Salmonidae.
CUUCCAAAACAGGAUUAGAAAUGAUGGAGAGGGAAGGAACCGCUCGUCUUUCAGCGGGCCGCAAGGAGAGACCGGGCUACCCAGAGAAUAUCUGAACAGCAUCAACCCAGUGAGAUGUUACAUUUCAAACGCAACCGUGAAGGCACGGGGGAAAAGGGUGAUCGUUAGACUUCAGAGGAGCAUAUCAGAUAAGAUCAGCGAGAAAGAGAGGACAAAUUGUGAACGACAAGGAUUUUUAUAAUUCUGCUCAAGAACAAACAUAUUUCACAGAAUGUUCCAGUACCUUUACUAUGCAAGGAGCAUCCUAUUAGGCUGAGAUUUCCACAUGAUAAAUCAAGACCUCUAGAGACCUAAAAUUGGUUGCAGGGACAAAACCCAUUUCGCUCUAAAAGGUCUGGCCUAUUUGGGGAAGUUGAAGGCUUUUAAGGGGGCUGGGGCUAGAUCUCACCAUGUACCCGUCUUCAGUUCAGUGGAUGGCCGUUAGCGGGGCUAAGCCUGGUAAAAGGAUUCUGUAAGCUCCCUCUGGUCAAAGCCUCCGCGCUGGGUUUACAAGAUCUCUCCAUGUCUCCCCCUCCCUCUCACAGGACUGUUAGUGAGGGUCACCUCUUCCCUCCAUUUAUUAGCUUCAAUGGGUCUCGAGACAGAAGAUUCCGGAAAGAUUUGUUUUUGGAAGAGACGGUAUUGUAAGCUAUCUGAGUAGAUUUAAGGUGAGCUACGCCGUAAGUGUUGACGGGCAGGCAUUUUACUGUACAUACAGUGCCUUAAGAAAGCAUUCAGAUCCCUUGACGUCUUCCACAUUUUGUUAGGUUGGAUGGGGAGCGUCGCUUCACAGCUAUUUUCAGGUCUCUCCAGAGAUGUUCGAUCCGGGCUCUGGCUGGGCCACUCAAGGACAUUCAGAGCCUUGUCCCGAUGCCACUCCUGUGUUGUCUUGGCUGUGUGCUUCGGGUCGUUGUCCUGUUGGAAGGUGAACCUUCACCACAGCAUGAGGUCCUGAGCGCUCUGGAGCAGGUUUCGUCAAGCAUCGCUCUGUACUGUCCUCCGUUCAUCUUUGCCUCGAUACUGACUAGUCUCACAGUCCCUGAAAAACAUCCCCACAGCAUGAUGCUGCUACCACUAAGUUUAACCGUAGGGAUGAUGCCAGGUUUCCUCCAGAUGUGACGCUUUGCAUUUAGACCAAAGAGUUCAAUCUUGGUUUCAUCAUACCAGAGAAUCUUUUUUCUCAUGGUCAGAGAGUCUUUAGGUGCUUUUUGGCAAACUCCAAGCGGGCUGUCAUGUGCCUUUUACUGAGGAGUGGCUUACGUCUGGCCACUUUACCAUAAAGGCCUGAUUCGUGGAGUGCUGCAGAGAUGGUUGUCCUUCUGGAAGGUUCUCCUAUUGCCACAGAGUAACUCUGGAGCUCUGUCAGAGUGACCGUCGGGUUCUUGGUCACCUCCCUGACGAAGGCCCUUCUCGCCCGACUGCUCAGUUUGGCCGGGCGGCCAGCUUUAGGAAGAUUCUUGGUGAUUCCAAACUUCUUCCAUUUAAAAAUGGAAGCCACUGUGUUCUUGGGGACCUUCAAUGCUGCAGAAAUGUUUUGGUACCCUUGCCCAGAUCUGUGCCUUGAAACAAUCCUGUCUCGGAGCUCUACAGACAAUUCCUUCUAACUCAUGGCUUGGUUUAUGCUCUGACAUGCAUUGUCAACUGUGGGACCUUAUAUAGACAGGUGUGUGCCUUUCCAAAUCAUGUCCAAAUGAAUUUACCACAGGUGGACUCCAAUCAAGUUGUAGAGACAUCAAGGAUGAUCAAUGGAAACAGGAUUCAUCUGAACUCAAUUUCGAGUCUCAUAUCAAAGGAUCUGAAUGCUUACGUAAAUAAGGUAUGUUUAUUUUUAAUACAUUUGCAAAAAUGUCGAAAACACAUUCUGCUUUGUCAUUA